CGGCGAGUGAAGCGGCAACAGCUCAAAUUUGAAAUCUGGCCCCUAGGGCCCGAGUUGUAAUUUGUAGAGGAUGCUUUUGGCGCGGCGCCUUCCGAGUUCCCUGGAACGGGACGCCAUAGAGGGUGAGAGCCCCGUCUGGUUGGAUGCCUAGCCUCUGUAAAGCUCCUUCGACGAGUCGAGUAGUUUGGGAAUGCUGCUCUAAAUGGGAGGUAUAUGUCUUCUAAAGCUAAAUACCGGCCAGAGACCGAUAGCGCACAAGUAGAGUGAUCGAAAGAUGAAAAGCACUUUGAAAAGAGGGUUAAAUAGUACGUGAAAUUGUUGAAAGGGAAGCGUUUGUGACCAGACUUGGGCCCGGUUGAUCAUCCAGCGUUCUCGCUGGUGCACUCUGCCGGCCCAGGCCAGCAUCAGUUCGCGCCGGGGGAUAAAGGUUUCGGGAAUGUGGCUCCUCCGGGAGUGUUAUAGCCCGUUGCGUAAUACCCUGGUGCGGACUGAGGUUCGCGCUCCGCAAGGAUGCUGGCGUAAUGGUCAUCAGCGACCCGUCUUGAAACACGGACCAAGGAGUCGUCCUCGUAUGCGAGUGUUCGGGUGUCAAACCCCUACGCGUAAUGAAAGUGAACGCAGGUGAGAGCUUCGGCGCAUCAUCGACCGAUCCUGAUGUUCUCGGAUGGAUUUGAGUAAGAGCAUACGGGGCCGGACCCGAAAGAAGGUGAACUAUGCCUGUAUAGGGUGAAGCCAGAGGAAACUCUGGUGGAGGCUCGCAGCGGUUCUGACGUGCAAAUCGAUCGUCAAAUAUGGGCAUGGGGGCGAAAGACUAAUC
Molecule: ribosomal RNA, 817 nt
Filed under: Hypocreales sp.
Lineage: Eukaryota; Fungi; Ascomycota; Sordariomycetes; Hypocreales
Description: partial large subunit ribosomal RNA
Rfam family: Eukaryotic large subunit ribosomal RNA
Source: RNAcentral